UACGUAGGUGGCUAGCGUUGUCCGGAUUUACUGGGCGUAAAGCGCGCGCAGGCGGUCGUUCAAGUCGAGUGUGAAAGCCCCCGGCUCAACUGGGGAGGGUCACUCGAUACUGAUCGACUUGAAGGCAGAAGAGGGUCGCGGAAUUCCCGGUGUAGAGGUGAAAUUCGUAGAUAUCGGGAGGAACACCAGUGGCGAAGGCGGCGACCUGGGCAGAUACUGACGCUGAGGUGCGAAAGCGUGGGGAGCAAACAGG
This 253-nucleotide ribosomal RNA is filed under the name uncultured bacterium. RNAcentral describes it as "partial 16S ribosomal RNA". It matches the Rfam family "Bacterial small subunit ribosomal RNA", at positions 524 to 776 of the family's 1533-position model. The record is from RNAcentral.